This 876-nucleotide ribosomal RNA is filed under the name Campylobacter jejuni. Its description in RNAcentral is "partial 23S ribosomal RNA". It matches the Rfam family "Bacterial large subunit ribosomal RNA", at positions 1010 to 1735 of the family's 2925-position model. Lineage: Bacteria; Pseudomonadati; Campylobacterota; Epsilonproteobacteria; Campylobacterales; Campylobacteraceae. The record is from RNAcentral.
GUCAAGAGGGAAACAACCCAGACUACCAGCUAAGGUCCCUAAAUCUUACUUAAGUGGAAAACGAUGUGAAGUUACUUAAACAACCAGGAGGUUGGCUUAGAAGCAGCCAUCCUUUAAAGAAAGCGUAAUAGCUCACUGGUCUAGUGAUUUUGCGCGGAAAAUAUAACGGGGCUAAAGUAAGUACCGAAGCUGUAGACUUGCACACAACUUAGAUUAUUUAAGUUUAGAAUAUGAGAAACUAAGUUAUAUGUUUAGUUAUAUUUUUACUGAUUUUUAUAGAGUAAAGAUAGAAAUAAAACUUAGUAAAAUCAGUAAAAAUAUUCUUAGACUAAAGUUAAGUAGUUUAAGUUGUGUGCAAGUGGUAGGAGAGCGUUCUAUUUGCGUCGAAGGUAUACCGGUAAGGAGUGCUGGAGCGAAUAGAAGUGAGCAUGCAGGCAUGAGUAGCGAUAAUUAAUGUGAGAAUCAUUAACGCCGUAAACCCAAGGUUUCCUACGCGAUGCUCGUCAUCGUAGGGUUAGUCGGGUCCUAAGUCGAGUCCGAAAGGGGUAGACGAUGGCAAAUUGGUUAAUAUUCCAAUACCAACAUUAGUGUGCGAUGGAAGGACGCUUAGGGCUAAGGGGGCUAGCGGAUGGAAGUGCUAGUCUAAGGUCGUAGGAGGUUAUACAGGCAAAUCCGUAUAACAAUACUCCGAGAACUGAAAGGCUUUUUGAAGUCUUCGGAUGGAUAGAAGAACCCCUGAUGCCGUCGAGCCAAGAAAAGUUUCUAAGUUUAGCUAAUGUUGCCCGUACCGUAAACCGACACAGGUGGGUGGGAUGAGUAUUCUAAGGCGCGUGGAAGAACUCUCUUUAAGGAACUCUGCAAAAUAGCACCGUAUCU